GCAGCCGAGGUAAUACGUAGGGUGCGAGCGUUAAUCGGAAUUACUGGGCGUAAAGCGUGCGCAGGCGGUUAGUUAAGACAGAUGUGAAAUCCCCGGGCUUAACCUGGGAACUGCAUUUGUGACUGGCGAGCUAGAGUAUGGCAGAGGGGGGUAGAAUUCCACGUGUAGCAGUGAAAUGCGUAGAGAUGUGGAGGAAUACCGAUGGCGAAGGCAGCCCCCUGGGCCAAUACUGACGCUCAUGCACGAAAGCGUGGGGAGCAAACAGGAUUAGAUACCCUGGUAGUCCACGCCCUAAACGAUGUCAACUAGUUGUUGGGUCUUCAUUGACUUAGUAACGUAGCUAACGCGUGAAGUUGACCGCCUGGGGAGUACGGUCGCAAGAUUAAAACUCAAAGGAAUUGACG
RNAcentral lists this ribosomal RNA (404 nucleotides) under uncultured beta proteobacterium. RNAcentral describes it as "SSU rRNA". It matches the Rfam family "Bacterial small subunit ribosomal RNA", at positions 511 to 915 of the family's 1533-position model. Lineage: Bacteria; Pseudomonadati; Pseudomonadota; Betaproteobacteria. The record is from RNAcentral.